CCUCCGUGUUGCAGCCGUGGGGAAUCUUGCACAAUGGGGGAAACCCUGAUGCAGCGACGCCGCGUGAGCGAUGAAGUAUUUCGGUAUGUAAAGCUCUAUCAGCAGGGACGAAAAUGACGGUACCUGACUAAGAAGCCCCGGCUAACUACGUGCCAGCAGCCGCGGUAAUACGUAGGGGGCACGCGUUUUCCGGAUUUACUGGGUGUAAAGGGAGCGUAGACGGCGGUGCAAGCCAGAUGUGAAAGCCCGGGGCUCAACCCCGGGACUGCAUUUGAAACUGUGCUGCUAGAGUGUCGGAGAGGCAGGCGGAAUUCCUAGUGUAGCGGUGAAAUGCGUAGAUAUUAGGAGGAACACCAGUGGCGAAGGCGGCCUGCUGGACGAUGACUGACGUUGAGGCUCGAAAGCGUGGGGAGCAAACAGGAUUAGAUACCCCAGUAGUC
This 440-nucleotide ribosomal RNA is filed under the name uncultured bacterium. Its description in RNAcentral is "partial 16S ribosomal RNA". It matches the Rfam family "Bacterial small subunit ribosomal RNA", at positions 338 to 795 of the family's 1533-position model. The record is from RNAcentral.